Molecule: ribosomal RNA, 570 nt
Filed under: Triticum aestivum (bread wheat)
Lineage: Eukaryota; Viridiplantae; Streptophyta; Magnoliopsida; Poales; Poaceae
Description: partial small subunit ribosomal RNA
Source: RNAcentral
AUGCAGGUUCAUCCUGUCCUUAUGCUGAUCGGAUUCAUCAUCAUAGGGAGUGAAGCCAUAAUGAGCUACAAAACAUUGCCAUGGAGCCAUGACACAAAUAAGAAGGUCCAUUUGAUUCUUCAUGCCGUUGCGCUUUUCCUGGGAUCGUUCGGGAUAUACGCUGCGUUCAAGUUUCACAAUGAAAGUGGAAUCGCUAAUCUAUACAGCUUACACUCCUGGGUUGGACUUGGCACUAUCAUUUUGUAUGGUUUACAGUGGGUAUCUGGCUUUCUCACCUUCUUCUUUCCCGGCGCUUCGCCGACACUCCGACGUGCCGUGCUCCCAUGGCAUGUUCGUGCUGGGCUCGUGGUCUACGUGCUGGCGCUGCUCGCGGCCGAGCUGGGGUUCCUGGAGAAGCUCGCUUUCCUUCAGACCGCGGGUCUGGGCAAAUACAGCUCGGAAGCCCUGCUGGUAAAUUUUACUGCCCUUGUUGUCUUACUACUGGGCGCAUCCGUCGUGCUGUAUGUCACUGCUCCUGCGCAGAGCGAGCACAGGCUUGGGUAUUCAUCAGUGCGAAGUCCUGACUCCUGA